This is a long non-coding RNA of Neltuma alba, 89 nucleotides long. RefSeq lists it as uncharacterized. The transcript has 3 exons. The record is from RefSeq and is a predicted model, not a curated record. Lineage: Eukaryota; Viridiplantae; Streptophyta; Magnoliopsida; Fabales; Fabaceae.
AACAUUUAAAUCAGUAGCAGGUGUGUUGAAGCUCAUGGCUAUGGAGUGUGUGGGAAGUUCAGUCCAUAUUAGAAUGCUCACAUAUGUUC